GACGAACGCUGGCGGCGUGCUUAACACAUGCAAGUCGAACGGAAAGGCCCUGCUUUUGUGGGGUGCUCGAGUGGCGAACGGGUGAGUAACACGUGAGUAACCUGCCCUUGACUUUGGGAUAACUUCAGGAAACUGGGGCUAAUACCGGAUAGGAGCUCCUGCUGCAUGGUGGGGGUUGGAACGUUUCGGCGGUUGGGGAUGGACUCGCGGCUUAUCAGCUUGUUGGUGGGGUAGUGGCUUACCAAGGCUUUGACGGGUAGCCGGCCUGAGAGGGUGACCGGCCACAAUGGGACUGAGAUACGGCCCAGACUCCUACGGGAGGCAGCAGUGGGGAAUAUUGCACAAUGGGCGGAAGCCUGAUGCAGCAACGCCGCGUGCGGGAUGACGGCCUUCGGGUUGUAAACCGCUUUCGCCUGUGACGAAGCGUGAGUGACGGUAAUGGGUAAAGAAGCACCGGCUAACUACGUG
RNAcentral lists this ribosomal RNA (468 nucleotides) under uncultured bacterium. Its description in RNAcentral is "partial 16S ribosomal RNA". It matches the Rfam family "Bacterial small subunit ribosomal RNA", at positions 28 to 507 of the family's 1533-position model. The record is from RNAcentral.